UUGUCUUGUAAUCCCUGCUCCACACAGACACACUUAAAAAUUUAAGAAGCCUUUAAAAAGCGGACAACCCAAUGGAGAAAAAAGAUUAACCAACCUUAUAGUUCCUGAUGAUCCACACUCGCUGUGCAUAUGGACAUAUGUAGGCGACAUACAACCUUCACGUGUAGAGGGGGGAAAAGCAGUAAAUACAGCCAAAAACAAAUCCCUAUUUCCAUGUGACUUAUAAAGAAUAAAAAAUUGAGAUUAGCAGCAAAGGCAGAUUAUUUUAAUAAAAAAAUAAAACCUUAUGGUUCCAUCGAAGAGUGGAGGUUGCUCUGCAGUAGGAUCCAGCACCGGAGGUAAUUUCUCCGGCACGCUCUUGUCCAAAGCAAUAGCAGCCAUUGGUUGGUGUGAGUUCUUGUGUGGAGAAUUGGUAAAGGGUUAUGGUGUUGAGAGAGCGAUGAGAUGGUAAGUGCAUAAUCUCUAGAGUGAUCAUUAUAUAGAGUUGCUGAGAG
Molecule: unclassified non-coding RNA, 494 nt
Filed under: Hevea brasiliensis (rubber tree)
Lineage: Eukaryota; Viridiplantae; Streptophyta; Magnoliopsida; Malpighiales; Euphorbiaceae
Source: RNAcentral